AAAUGUUCCAGUAAUAUGAACCUGUUUUACAGAAAAGAAAAUAGGAAGCAAGAAUUUUUCAUUUCCCCUACACUGUAAUACAGAAUUUGAAAGACAGUAAGCAGUAAAUUCAAAAAAUCAUAAAACAGCAGGAACAACUCCAUGCAAUUAAGAAAAAAGAAAGAUGAAUAAGAAAAACAGAAAUAAAUCAGAAUAGAUGGCACAGUCAUUAGAGGAGCAAGGUGUAGAUAUGCAUCUUUGAGAGUUGAAACACAAAAUAAAUAAAAAUUGCUAGAAAAUUCAAAAUUCACACCAUACAUCCAUAAGAAAACAAAUCUGCUGUUAAAACUCCCUUUUGGAUGCAACAAGCAUGUGUUCCUU
Molecule: unclassified non-coding RNA, 360 nt
Filed under: Hevea brasiliensis (rubber tree)
Lineage: Eukaryota; Viridiplantae; Streptophyta; Magnoliopsida; Malpighiales; Euphorbiaceae
Source: RNAcentral